Molecule: ribosomal RNA, 1350 nt
Filed under: metagenome
Description: bacterial LSU rRNA
Rfam family: Bacterial large subunit ribosomal RNA
Source: RNAcentral
UGAGUGCGAGCUGCUACGGCAGCGAAGUUGGUGAUGUCAUGCUUCCAAGAAAAGCCCUAUACCCGUUAAGGCAUCAUGGCCUGUACCCGAAACCGACACAGGUGGGGUGGUAGAGAAUACCGAGGGGCGCGAGGUAACUCUCUCUAAGGAACUCGGCAAAAUGGCCCCGUAACUUCGGGAGAAGGGGUGCCACCGCAAGGUGGUCGCAGUGAAGAGGCCCAGGCGACUGUUUACCAAAAACACAGGUCUCCGCUAAGUCGCAAGACGAUGUAUGGGGGCUGACGCCUGCCCAGUGCCGGAAGGUUAAGGAAGCUGGUCAGCGCAAGCGAAGCUAGCGACUGAAGCCCCGGUGAACGGCGGCCGUAACGAUAACGGUCCUAAGGUAGCGAAAUUCCUUGUCGGGUAAGUUCCGACCCGCACGAAAGGCGUAACGAUCUGGGCGCUGUCUCGGAGAGAGGCUCGGCGAAAUAGAAUUGUCUGUGAAGAUGCGGACUACGUGCACCCGGACAGAAAGACCCUAUGAAGCUUUACUGUAGCUUGGUAUUGUGCCCGGGCUCGCAAUGCGCAGGAUAGGUGGGAGGCUUUGAUCAUCGGCUUGCGGGUCGAUGUGAGCCAACGGUGAGAUACCACUCUUUGCGAGCUAGGGUUCUAACGGCCACCCGUCAUCCGGGGGCCGGACAGUACCUGGUGGGCAGUUUGACUGGGGCGGUCGCCUCCUAAAAGGUAACGGAGGCGCGCAAAGGUUUGCUCAGGCUGGUUGGAAAUCAGCCGACGAGUGUAAAAGCAGAAGCAAGCUUGACUGUGAGACCAACAAGUCGAACAGGGAGGAAACUCGGCUUUAGUGAUCCGACGGUUCUGAGUGGAAGGGCCGUCGCUCAACGGAUAAAAGUUACUCUAGGGAUAACAGGCUGAUCUCCCCCAAGAGUUCACAUCGACGGGGAGGUUUGGCACCUCGAUGUCGGCUCAUCGCAACCUGGGGCUGAAGUCGGUCCCAAGGGUUGGGCUGUUCGCCCAUUAAAGCGGUACGCGAGCUGGGUUCAGAACGUCGUGAGACAGUUCGGUCCAUAUCCGGUGCACGCGCAGGAAUAUUGAGAGGAUUUCUCCCUAGUACGAGAGGACCGGGAGGAACGCACCUCUGGUGUACCAGUUAUCGUGCCAACGGUAAACGCUGGGUAGCCAUGUGCGGAGUGGAUAACCGCUGAAAGCAUCUAAGUGGGAAGCCCACCUCAAGAUGAGUAUUCCCAUGGCGUAAGCCAGUAAGGUCACGGGAAGAACACCCGUUGAUAGGCUCUAUGUGGAAGCGCAGUAAUGCGUGAAGCAGAGGAGUACUAAUAGACCGAGGGCUUGACC